CUAUGAUGGGGAUAACAGUUGGAAACGACUGCUAAUACCGAAUACGCUCAUGAUGAACUUUGUGAGGAAAGGUGGCCUCUGCUUGCAAGCUAUCGCAUAGAGAUGAGUCCGCGUCCCAUUAGCUAGUUGGUGGGGUAACGGCCUACCAAGGCAACGAUGGGUAGCCGAUCUGAGAGGAUGAUCGGCCACACUGGGACUGAAACACGGUCCAG
This 212-nucleotide ribosomal RNA is filed under the name uncultured bacterium. RNAcentral describes it as "partial 16S ribosomal RNA". It matches the Rfam family "Bacterial small subunit ribosomal RNA", at positions 132 to 334 of the family's 1533-position model. The record is from RNAcentral.